RNAcentral lists this unclassified non-coding RNA (316 nucleotides) under Hevea brasiliensis (rubber tree). Lineage: Eukaryota; Viridiplantae; Streptophyta; Magnoliopsida; Malpighiales; Euphorbiaceae. The record is from RNAcentral.
GGGGCACGAGGGUGGGCAUCAUGAGUCUGGGCACUCCAGUUCAUCAAUCUCCAAAGCACUCACGGGGUUGUCCUUCGUUACGCCUGCUGAUCCUAAUGCCUCAAACGAAGAAACAUACUCUUUUCCAGACUCUCCUGAUCCCAUGGCCUCUGACCAAGAAACAGACUCUAUUAUAGAUUCAGUAGAGUCAUUACUUGACUCUGACUAUGGUGGGGAUCCAAUGGAUGCAGAUGAACACCCAAUGGUUUAUAUCAGAAAGGUUUACGCCAUCGUUGAAGGAGCCAUUCAAACAAAUAAUUUAGAUGGUGUGAUUGAC